RNAcentral lists this ribosomal RNA (497 nucleotides) under uncultured bacterium. RNAcentral's name for it is "partial 16S ribosomal RNA". It matches the Rfam family "Bacterial small subunit ribosomal RNA", at positions 28 to 507 of the family's 1533-position model. The record is from RNAcentral.
GAUGAACGCUGGCGGCGUGCCUAAUACAUGCAAGUCGAGCGAACAGACGAGGAGCUUGCUCCUCUGACGUUAGCGGUGGACGGGUGAGUAACACGUGGAUAACCUACCUAUAAGACUGGGAUAACUUCGGGAAACCGGAGCUAAUACUGGAUAACAUGUUGAACCGCAUGGUUCAACAGUGAAAGACGGUCUUGCUGUCACUUAUAGAUGGAUCCGCGCCGCAUUAGCUAGUUGGUAAGGUAACGGCUUACCAAGGCAACGAUGCGUAGCCGACCUGAGAGGGUGAUAGGCCACACUGGAACUGAGACACGGUCCAGACUCCUACGGGAGGCAGCAGUAGGGAAUCUUCCGCAAUGGGCGAAAGCCUGACGGAGCAACGCCGCGUGAGUGAAGAAGGUCUUCGGAUCGUAAAACUCUGUUAUUAGGGAAGAACAAAUGUGUAAGUAACUAUGCACGUCUUGACGGUACCUAAUCAGAAAGCCACGGCUAACUACGUG